UUGCAAAAAUAAAAGAAACAAAAUAGGAGUGUAUUCUCUCCUCUUCCUUAUACAGAGGAAUAAAUGAGACGGCGGGUAUCUCUGCACGCAGAAACUGAUGCUAUAUUGUACACCUAAUGUUGCCAAGUCGAGGCAGACUCAUUCGAACACAGAAGAAGUAUUCAGCCUCUGCAGGACCAAAUUGACAGCUCUUUAAAGGCGGCUGACGGAAAGCAGCAUUAAUUAAGUCAUUGCCGGACUGUAAUUGUGUUAAGAAGUAAAAAUCUAAUAUGAGAAAAGGGUCCCAGGGUGCCUCCAGCGUUCCACUCAGGAUAUAUAGUGUGGUGCCUCUUGUCCUCAUGAUUGAAAAUGGAUGUUGGAACUCUCUGGCCAUCGCAUUUGCUUUCGGAGCAGUAAGACGGCAGCUUUACAUUUCAUGGG
This 420-nucleotide long non-coding RNA is filed under the name Dasypus novemcinctus (nine-banded armadillo). RNAcentral describes it as "lncRNA (ENSDNOG00000050017.1)". The record is from RNAcentral. Lineage: Eukaryota; Metazoa; Chordata; Mammalia; Cingulata; Dasypodidae.